CGGAAAACAACUAACAAUCACAAUUUAGUAUUAAGUUCAAGCCAAAUUUUGCUUUUAAAUCCACAACAAUGGUUUGGCAUUUGGCACUUACACCUUCUCUCUCUUGCUUGCCUUCAAAACCAUUGCUUGCUUCAAAGGACACUCACACUCGCACGUCAUGCCAUCGGCAUCGACCGACUAUUUCAUCAUCCCCUCCAACAAACUCUCACACUCGUGCAUCUAGCCACCUUUCAAUCAUUUAUUGCAAGCACAAGAAUCCAAGUGGAGGAUGCAAGGAUUUUCUCUGCUUCCAAUGUUUGAAAACAAGGAAGAGAAACAAAAGCACAAACAAAAGAACAAGAAAGAAUAGUCAACGAGAAGGAAGUGGUAAGCGAUACAAGUCAAAGUGUUAAUAUUCAUUGUUUUCAAAAUCCAAGUCAUGCAACAUCGCUAAGGUAAAUCGGGUCUUGUCUAGGAAAAUAGUAACAUUUAUCAUGAUGUUGUCCUUCCUGCUUCUAUAUAACUGCUGCUGACGUACAAGGACUGACAUCAGAACAACAUGAUAUUACAAAUGCAAUAGAUAACCAAGCGCCUGCCCUUUAUAUCAAAACACAACCACCCAAAAAAUAUAUAUAAUAAUAAAUAAGAAUGAAUUAAGUUGACUUUUCAAGCUCUAAAUAAUGCAUUCACCAAAUAAAUAUAAAUCAAACAUUAAAAGAUUGCAGCUGGAUCCAUUCUGGAUGGAAGAGCUAAGCUUUUCUCUCUAUACAAUAUAGAAGCCAACAAAAGAGUCUGCAAUGAAAGGUUUACUUCGCAGAAGAGAUGGUGCCGUCACCUGUUCUUCUCGUUCGAGGUUCUGGUAUCGGCAUCAUAUCCUCUGCGCAACAAACCGAUACAUUUGAAUAUAGAUUGAGGAAAACAAGAGAGCCUUGUGUUCAUCAAUCCUCUCAUUGUGGUUCAUAUAAUUCAUAAAUGGUUGAUUCCUAGAUGUAAAGCCAACUUGACUGAUAUGAAGCAGUGAAGAUUUUACGGUAAUUGAAGAUAGUUCUUGGAAUGUUUUUGUGCAUUUCUGGCUGAUACAGAUAGUUCAUAAAUGGUUGAUUCCCAGAUGUAAAGCCAACUUGACUGAAAUGAAGCAGUGAAGAUUUUAUGGUAAUUGAAGAUAGUUCUUGGAAUGUUUUUGUGCAUUUCUGGCUGAUACAGAUAGUUCAUAAAUGGUUGAUUACCAGAUGCAAAGCCAACUUGACUGAUAUGAAGCAGUGAAGUGAAGUAAUAGUAAGGUUCAAUAAUAUAUAUUUUCUUUCUUUUGGAGAUCGAAGGAUUUGAAUCCAACCUUUUAGUCGAGAGACGCUUAAACUAGCGGAAUUAUGUGAAAGUUGGCCGAGUGUCUUUGUUCUGUGCUAGUUGCAGCAAUGAAUCUAUUUUCACAUGUGACGAGGAAGUGUGGGGAUUUUGAGUGGUAUUGAGUUAAUUGAAAUGGAGUUCAAAAGUGCUUUUGAGAGAACUAGAAAAUUCAAAAUAUAAAAAGUUGGUGGGCUGCCAUAAGAUGGUAGAGUUAAUAGCCCUUGGAUGCAAAUUCAAAUUCAUGUCAUUAUGAGAUAUAAAUUCAGAGAUGUGUCAUUAGAACAGUGAAA
This is a long non-coding RNA of Cucumis sativus (cucumber), 1613 nucleotides long. RefSeq lists it as uncharacterized. Lineage: Eukaryota; Viridiplantae; Streptophyta; Magnoliopsida; Cucurbitales; Cucurbitaceae. The record is from RefSeq and is a predicted model, not a curated record. The transcript has 2 exons.